This 5165-nucleotide long non-coding RNA is filed under the name Sus scrofa (pig). Its description in RNAcentral is "lncRNA (ENSSSCG00005018030.1)". The record is from RNAcentral. Lineage: Eukaryota; Metazoa; Chordata; Mammalia; Artiodactyla; Suidae.
AUUUUUCUUUUCUUUCUUUUUUCUUUUUUUUUGGCUUUAAUAACCAAUAUCACACCAUUCUCACUGCAAGGCACAACUUUUCAUUUACCCAGAACACUCCAGCUAUGGGUCUAUACGGAGGAAACACACCUGGCAGAACGCCCACGACAGGGGCACAGGUGACCAAUGGUCCCCAACUGCCAGGCUCUGAAAUCCAUCAGCACACAUGCUCCAGGUCAUGCUGGCCUCUGUCUGCUCCAGCCAGGGGGCUGAGCACAGGAGGGAUGUGAAGGCAGGCCCCCUUCCUGGGAGACAUAGGACAGCUCUGGGGGUCAAGUUCACUCAAGGACUCCCCAGAACUUCCACUUGGGGCUGGGACGCUGCCCGCAAGCGUCCCUUCCCUCCGGAUCAGAUGCGCACCGCAGUCUGACCACAAUCUCAGCCUUUUCUGGGUCUCUCCCAUUUUCUUCUAAUGAGAUCCUUGCACCUUUAUUUCCCUCUUGGCGCCUCCUUCUCAAAGGAUCCAGAGCACUCCACAGUCCAUACUUCUAUGCAGUCAGGUGUAAGAAGGUAUGAAUCAGUCAUCAAUGAAAUCCAUUCGGGCAUUACAGUGUGUGUGCGUGUGUGUGUGUGUGUGUGUAUGUGUGUGUGUGUGUUUACUUGGGAAUUCCCUGGUUCACAAAUGGCCCAUUGGAAUAGCUAUUCUGGUUCAUUCCAAACAAUGCCAGUCAGGUGGCUAGAGGAAUCACUUUUCUUUCUGAUUUGCCAAAAAUGACUUUUUUUUUCUACUCCUUUCCUGUACACUCUGAUGAUAGAGAACCCACUGUUACGUGGAGCCCAGUACAGGCUCUGGGGCCGUUCACAUGGUGACCCGGGGGCUACAGGACUGAGGUUAAUCCACAGAUGCUCUACCCCGGGGCCUGUCUCUGGUUACCCUCUCCUGUCCUCUGUCCAUUUCCUCAAUUCCCCAAUCCCCAACUGCCUUCUUUCUCCACAUAGAACACCUGCCUGAGUUCAGGUGAUUUGGGUUGUCCGCUGACAUGAAAAUGAAUGGGUGUCCCCCCAACCAGCUAUCUGUCCUUGGUAAAUUUAAGUGAGAGAAAGGAAAGGGAGGCACUGGGGUACAGCAGGAAGCCUUCAGAAGGUGAGAGAGGGAGCAAAGCUGUUGCUGAAGGUGCUGAAAUAUCUAAGCAGAUCCGUUCACUGCUGGACCUUCAGAAGCAAACACAGAGAUUAGGGGAAAAAGGCUCAGAAGUAGUAUCCUCAGCAUCUUACGCCACACCACGGACUGGACCUCUCCCUGGACUCAUCAGCUCCCCUGCGCUGCUCAUUGACCCAGCCCUGGAAGAAAGGCACCACCCUUCUCCCCCAUCACUGUCUGGUUGACAGGAAGGGGAGGGCAAAUGGAAUCUGUGAGUUGGCUGCAGAGGAGAUGGGGAUAUACCCAUAAUGCUGUGCACAGUGGCCAUCACUGGGAUGGCCCAAAGAAAACUCAACAGGUCCAAAAUGGAAGGUCCAUCUCUUUCCUCCCUGCUCUUCUAUCCGGUACCCUAUUCAGUUGGUGAUGACAUAAAGCGGCACCUCCUAAACGUGUCCCCUUAGAAACCCAAGAUGAGGACGAGGACUCUCAGAACCAUCUUUGGGUGAAUUAUGAGUUCAACAUUUGUUACGAUGGCUUAUCACCAUCCGUCUAUGGCAAAACACAUUCUGAGUUCCAAACAACAGACUUCAAAUAAACAGUGGAAUAUGAUCCAUUCAUAAGUUGGGUAAUAGCUGUGCUAAUGAUGUGGGAUACAUCCUCAUUUAGAAAAUUAUCAUUAUCAUUAAUCAGAGUUAUUCAUUUGUAACCUGAUAUAUUUGGAGCUCAGCUUGAUUUCUUUUAGGUCUUUUAACUUGUGAGUUUAGCGGUAAGUUUAGUGGUAAGACUACAUUUGUUUCUGUGAAUAAUGUUGCUUUGUGCUCUUAUACCCCAUUAAACCUUGGUACAGGUCUUCAAUAUCAUCAGAUAACAUUUGGAGGAGAAUUUUUUUUUUUUUUUUAAAUGGCUGCACCCAUGGCAUAUGGAAGCUCCUGGGGUCAGGGAUUGAAUCCAAGCCACAGGGGUGACCUAUGGCGCACCUGCGGCAACACUGUAUCCUUUAACCCACUGUGCCAAGCCAAUCAGUGGGAUGCAGUUGUCCCAAACCAUGCCUCUGCAGAUGCAGCGACCUGAGAAAUUGCAAGUCCAAUUCUGAGGAUCUUAACCCACUGCACCACAGAGGGAACUCCACGGAGGACCCUUUAGAUUUAAAUCUAAUGUGAUGAUUCUCCAAGUGUGGUCUCAGGACCUACAGCAAUGAGCAUCCCCUGGGAAUUGUUAGAAAUGCAAAUUCUCAGCCUGAAGUCAUCCUGCUAAAUCAGAACCUCUGGGGGCGGGGCCCAGAAUAGUGUUUCAACAAGCUCUCCUCCAGGCGAUCCAGAUCUUUGCUCAAGUUUGGGAACCACUGAUCUCAUCCACCUAUCUUGAGGCUGGGGUGAAAUCAGUCAUGGGUCAAUUAAACUGUUUUAUUGUCUGUAAUUAUCCCUAUAAAGAGCACAAAACUAGCUCCAAGAAGGAGUCUGGUCUAUUAAGAGUUUCCAGUCAUGUUGGGGAAAUUCACACACUUGAAAUUAACAGAAAACUAACAGGCCAAUACAUAAUUACAUGUAUGCUAUCAAACGGCACCAAAGGUUAUUCAAGAGCAGGGACCACUUUCCUUAAAUUUGAUCUAUUUCAGAUAUGAUUCAAGAUCUGCCUUACAAAUAUAUAAUUAAUAUUGAUGGGAAGGUGGGAUGUUCUUGUUAAGGAAAGAAAGUGGCUGAAGUCUUUCUUCCUGGACCCCAAGAAUUGGAUUAGAGGAACAUUUAAUCUCACCAUGCUUUGUUUUCCCCAUCACAGACAAUGAUGGCUCCACAGUCCUUCUCAGUAAACCAUGCUAGUAUUUUACCACCGUGAAAGUUACGAGUUUUUUUAUGCUCAGCUAAAAUCUGUUCUCAUUGACCGGAAAGAAAGAAAAAAAGCUCUUCACAGCUAAUUCGUAAGUGACACGGAGGGUGAAAUGGGAAAGUGUUCAGUAAAGUUUGAAACGUUACAUGGAAGGUAGAUCUCUGUUAUUACUGUAAUUAUUAUCAUUGUUUGAUUUAAAGAGUUGCACUGCUUCUGGAUGAGAGGCUUAAUGAUUUUGUUGAUUCUAAAAUGACAAUAUGAGAGGGGAAGGUUCACAUUCAGUUUAAAAUUUUUAAAAAAUCUAUUUUUUUAUUCCUUCCGUAGAUGUGUCUGAAAAGGUACAACAGACAAAUCAAAAGCCCCAGGCUUCCUUUUCAAUCUUCAGAUGAUAUUUUUUUUUUAAGUCGCUGAAAUGACAUAAAAUCAAAUCCCUUUGAAAGGUGGAUGGCCUCACAUACAAUUCCAAAGACCUCAUCCUAAAACUUAAAAAAAGGAAUAAUUCACUCAUUUUUGAUGGCCAUUAAUUCAUUUAAGUUACAAAAGUACCAUUUAGUAAAUUACCUUUUCCAGGGAGCCCGGUGACCUCAGGAGGGCCUGAAAGUGUUAAAUCACCUUCAAAGAGCGGUCAGUUUACCCUCUAAUCACUGAUAACAUGAGUCCAAAUAGCCUCAAAUUUCUUUAGUGCUGGAUUCUGAUCAACAAAAAGCACUUCUAUAGGCACUAUUAACUUCCCCCUUCACACCAUGGUGAGGGUGGGAAAGGGGAGCCCGUGAGAAAGAUUUUAGAAUUUCCCCAGGAGGGUAAAGGAAUAUCACAGCUUUCAAAAUUUUUAAUUAUAAAUUCAUGCAAUAAUUGCAAAGCAAUAUUAUCAAAUGUCAUUGCGGGGGGUGGGGGCAUGUUUUAGGAUGCUAAGGAAGACAUCUAGCCUACUAACUUCUUGACUCCAAUUUAUGUUUUCAGGCUUACUGGGGAGUAUAUGGUAUUAGUAUGUAUGAAUAUAUGUAUGUAUGUGUGUAUGUAUGUAUUUUGGCUUUUAUUUUUUGCACUAGCAGCAUAUGGAAGUUCCAGGCUAGGGGGUCAUAGUGGAGCUACAGCUGCUGGCUUAUGUCACAGCCACAGCAAUGUGGGAUCUGUGACCUCCAUCACAGCUCAUGGCAAGGCCAGAUCCCCGACCCACAGAGCAAAGCCAGGGAUUGAACCCACAUCCUCACGUAUACCAGUCAGAUUCAUUUCCGAUGCACCGCAACGGGAACUCCCGGUAUUAAAAUUUAGAUUUGGGUCUGGGGGGGAAGCUUUCUGAAUUUUUUUUCAGACAGUUGUGGGAGGUCAACAUCCUUGUUCAUGAGGAGUCUGCGGGGGGCAGGUGUCCGAGCUGGACCAGGAAAGGUGAGGCAUCCGCUGUGGCAUCUGGAUGUAGCAAGGUCAGGGUGACGUCUUCACCUCUUCAUGCAGCCUUCACUGGGGCUGCGAUUGGGCGCUCUUACCCCCAGGUCAUAAAUUAAGUCCAGUCCACAAGCUACCUUAUCAUUUUCAAUAAACUGAUGACUAAAAGCUUCCCCAGGAGUCAUAGUUCAUCAUUAAAAAUACACAUCAGAUACGACGAACCUAUAAUUGGAAACCCACAGGUAGAGGAACUACAUAGAGAUUUCACACCGUCAGGCAAAAGGUGGUUCCUCCUUCAGUUCUUCCCAGAUGUUUCUCCAGUUUUCAGUUUCAUGGAUGGCUUGUUAUGUACUCAUCGGACAAAUUUCAAGGAAAAGCUCUAACCCUCAAUGGGGAGGGAUGCUAAAAGACCCCAUAAAGGAGAUAAAGUAAAAGAUAAUGACUUCACAUGUGAAAAGGAAGAGAAAUUUUUUCUCACCAUCAACUAAAACAGAAUUUACUUACUGAGAAGGUUAUUAAUCCAUUUGACUGACCAAGUGGGUCUUUCACUUUUGGUUAAGACUUAGCACUUGGGGGAGUUCCUGUUGUGGCUCAGUGAAAAUGAAUCCAACUAGUAACCAUGAGGUUUCAGGGAUCAGGUUUGAUCCCUGGCCUCACUUAGUGGGUUGGGCAUCUGGUGCUGCUGUGAGCUGUAGUGUAGGUCCACAGAUGCAGCUCAGAUCCUGCGUUGCUGUGGCUGUGGUAUAGGCUGGCAGCUGCAGCUCCAAUUUGACCCCGAGCCAGGGAACUUCCAAAUGCCAUGGGUAUGACCCUAAAAAAAAAAAAAAAAAAAAAAAAA